CCUUACACAUGCAAGUCGAACGGCAGCACGGGAGCAAUCCUGGUGGCGAGUGGCGAACGGGUGAGUAAUAUAUCGGAACGUGCCCAGUCGUGGGGGAUAACGCAGCGAAAGCUGUGCUAAUACCGCAUACGAUCUCUGGAUGAAAGCGGGGGACUCGCAAGGGCCUCGCGCGAUUGGAGCGGCCGAUAUCAGAUUAGCUAGUUGGUGGGGUAAAGGCCCACCAAGGCGACGAUCUGUAGCUGGUCUGAGAGGACGACCAGCCACACUGGAACUGAGACACGGUCCAGACUCCUACGGGAGGCAGCAGUGGGGAAUUUUGGACAAUGAGCGCAAGCCUGAUCCAGCAAUGCCGCGUGCAGGAUGAAGGCCUUCGGGUUGUAAACUGCUUUUGUACGGAACGAAACGGUCUGCCUUAAUACGGUGGGCUAAUGACGGUACCAUAAGAAUAAGCACCGGCUAACUACGUGCCAGCAGCCGCGGUAAUACGUAGGGUGCGAGCGUUAAUCGGAAUUACUGGGCGUAAAGCGUGCGCAGGCGGUUAUAUAAGACAGAUGUGAAAUCCCCGGGCUCAACCUGGGACCUGCAUUUGUGACUGUAUAGCUAGAGUACGGUAGAGGGGGAUGGAAUUCCGCGUGUAGCAGUGAAAUGCGUAGAUAUGCGGAGGAACACCGAUGGCGAAGGCAAUCCCCUGGACCUGUACUGACGCUCAUGCACGAAAGCGUGGGGAGCAAACAGGAUUAGAUACCCUGGUAGUCCACGCCCUAAACGAUGUCAACUGGUUGUUGGGUCUUCACUGACUCAGUAACGAAGCUAACGCG
RNAcentral lists this ribosomal RNA (818 nucleotides) under uncultured bacterium. RNAcentral describes it as "bacterial SSU rRNA". It matches the Rfam family "Bacterial small subunit ribosomal RNA", at positions 47 to 859 of the family's 1533-position model. The record is from RNAcentral.